CUACGGGAUGCAGCAGUGGGGGAUAUUGCACAAUGGGCGAAAGCCUGAUGCAGCAACGCCGCGUGAAGGAAGACGGUUUUCGGAUUGUAAACUUCUAUCAGCAGGGAAGAAAAUGACUGUACCUGACUAAGAAGCCCCGGCUAACUACGUGCCAGCAGCCGCGGUAAUACGUAGGGGGCAAGCGUUAUCCGGAAUUACUGGGUGUAAAGGGUACGUAGGCGGUUCGUUAAGUCAGAUGUGAAAGCCCGAAGCUUAACUUCGGGACUGCAUUUGAAGCUGAUGAACUAGAGUACAGGAGAGGUAAGUGGAAUUCCUAGUGUAGCGGUGAAAUGCGUAGAUAUUAGGAAGAACACCAGUGGCGAAGGCGACUUACUGGACUGUAACUGACGCUGAGGUACGAAAGCGUGGGGAGCGAACAGGAUUAGAUACCCGCGUAGUC
RNAcentral lists this ribosomal RNA (439 nucleotides) under uncultured bacterium. Its description in RNAcentral is "partial 16S ribosomal RNA". It matches the Rfam family "Bacterial small subunit ribosomal RNA", at positions 339 to 795 of the family's 1533-position model. The record is from RNAcentral.